This 854-nucleotide long non-coding RNA is filed under the name Coturnix japonica (Japanese quail). RNAcentral describes it as "lncRNA (ENSCJPG00005020172.1)". The record is from RNAcentral. Lineage: Eukaryota; Metazoa; Chordata; Aves; Galliformes; Phasianidae.
GUAAAUAGGUAAAUACGCAUGGGAGCACUGCAAAUGCACAAGUAGUUUUGUGCCAAUAAAAUGCAAAGGAUAAAAAUAAAAUACAAUACAGCGGCAAAAGUAUUUAUAUAAAUCAUGGAAAUGUAAGGAAAGGAAAAAAGAACCGGCUGCCCCAUGCACAUUUUGAACAAGGUAAUAGAAGGAGUAUAACUUUGCUGCUGCAGAAUGUAUUAGAAGCUGGGAAAUAACUUAACCUGACUGCAAACACGAGGCUUUUUGGGGCUGGUAUUAACACAGGUUUUCCUGCAAACACGCGAUGUGCAGGCAGGGACAGGUUGCAAGCAACAUGGUGAUUGUUUCUUAUUUGUCUCACUGUUUGCAAGGGAUGCUUGAUAGCGGUCCCACGUCCCAGCGUGAGAUGGCUGACACUGUUCUGGGGCACUGCCUUUCCCUGCUGGGUAGAGGAAGCGGCUGAGAAUGCUGGGUUUGGAUUUAGGUUCUCUGCCAGGAGAUGAGUAAAGACACUGCUGUAACAAAUCCUAUUUCCUAUGCAGAUGCUGCAAGAGAAGUCCUGCUGUUUGCUGUGCAUGGUGGCAGAAGUGCGUUGGCAUGGUUUUCAGCAGGGAAGGAACACCUCAGUGCAGGCUGACACCAAGAAGAACCUCGCUGUCCCCCACACCAGAUUACACCGUGUAAUGACACGGCAGCGAGGCGGUCAGGGGACGACCGGCCGCCUCCUCCGGGCCAGGCAGCGGGUCGGGAUGCACAAUAAGAAGAUAAAGCAACGAUCCUGCUGCGGUGAGAUGAAGUGCAGAGCUGUGACAAAGGUUUCCCACCAGCCCAACGUAGUUUUUGUCCCUCGGGAGAAAGGAUGA